UCCACUGCGAGGUGGAAUCUGAAGGAAGCCUGGAGCAAAUUCCCGGCCUGACGAACAGAAACUGCAUAUAAGGCCUAUGGAGACCGGAUGAGAUUGCAUAACAAAUCAAAGUCCGUUACUGCACGGGGUCUCUGGGGUAAAUGCAGCAGGUAUAUGGGAUGAAAGUUAUUGUU
RNAcentral lists this non-coding RNA (173 nucleotides) under Salegentibacter salinarum. The record is from RNAcentral. Lineage: Bacteria; Pseudomonadati; Bacteroidota; Flavobacteriia; Flavobacteriales; Flavobacteriaceae.